AGAGUUUGAUCAUGGCUCAGAACGAACGCUGGCGGCAGGCCUCAAACAUGCAAGUCUAGGGGGUGUAGCAAUACACCACCGGCGGACGGGUGCGUAACACGUGGGAAUAUACCUUUCGGUACGGAACAACUGAGGGAAACUUCAGCUAAUACCGUAUACGUCCUAACGGAGAAAGAUUUAUCGCCGAAGGAUUAGCCCGCGCUCGAUUAGCUAGUUGGUGAGGUAAUGGCUCACCAAGGCAACGAUCGAUAGCUGUUCUGAGAGGAAGAUCAGCCACACUGGGACUGAGACACGGCCCAGACUCCUACGGGAGGCAGCAGUUGGGAAUCUUGGACAAUGGGGGAAACCCUGAUCCAGCCAUGCCGCGUGAGUGAUGAAGGCCUUCGGGUUGUAAAGCUCUUUUACCCGGGAAGAUAAUGACUGUACCGGGAGAAUAAGCUCCGGCUAACUUCGUGCCAGCAGCCGCGGUAAUACGAAGGGGGCUAGCGUUGUUCGGAAUUACUGGGCGUAAAGCGCGCGCAGGCGGUUUUUCAAGUCAGUGGUGAAAGCCCGGAGCUCAACUCCGGAACUGCCAUUGAAACUGUGAAACUUGAGGACGAGAGAGGUGAGUGGAAUUCCCAGUGUAGAGGUGAAAUUCGUAGAUAUUGGGAAGAACACCGGUGGCGAAGGCGGCUCACUGGCUCGUUUCUGACGCUCAGGCGCGACAGCGUGGGGAUCAAACAGGAUUAGAUACCCUAGUAGUCC
Molecule: ribosomal RNA, 744 nt
Filed under: uncultured bacterium
Lineage: Bacteria
Description: bacterial SSU rRNA
Rfam family: Bacterial small subunit ribosomal RNA
Source: RNAcentral